GAGAGCUCAUUUAUUCUCAUGGCUUUUAAAAUUACCUUUGGCUCAGUGUACAACAGCUGCAAACAUCAGCCUCCUUGGUAGUGUACACAGCCUGUGGCUUGUAUAGGCUGCCUUAAGGCACCUUGGAGAUGGCC
Ictidomys tridecemlineatus (thirteen-lined ground squirrel) is the source of this 134-nucleotide non-coding RNA. The record is from Rfam. NCBI's taxonomy places the organism in Eukaryota, Metazoa, Chordata, Mammalia, Rodentia, Sciuridae.